AGAGUUUGAUCAUGGCUCAGAUUGAACGCUGGCGGCAUGCCUUACACAUGCAAGUCGAACGGCAGCACGAGAGCUUGCUCUUGGUGGCGAGUGGCGAACGGGUGAGUAAUAUAUCGGAACGUACCCUAGAGUGGGGGAUAACGUAGCGAAAGUUACGCUAAUACCGCAUACGAUCUACGGAUGAAAGUGGGGGAUCGCAAGACCUCAUGCUCAUGGAGCGGCCGAUAUCUGAUUAGCUAGUUGGUGGGGUAAAAGCUCACCAAGGCGACGAUCAGUAGCUGGUCUGAGAGGACGACCAGCCACACUGGAACUGAGACACGGUCCAGACUCCUACGGGAGGCAGCAGUGGGGAAUUUUGGACAAUGGGCGCAAGCCUGAUCCAGCAAUGCCGCGUGAGUGAAGAAGGCCUUCGGGUUGUAAAGCUCUUUUGUCAGGGAAGAAACGGUGGACUCUAAUACAGAUCACUAAUGACGGUACCUGAAGAAUAAGCACCGGCUAACUACGUGCCAGCAGCCGCGGUAAUACGUAGGGUGCAAGCGUUAAUCGGAAUUACUGGGCGUAAAGCGUGCGCAGGCGGUUGUGCAAGACAGAUGUGAAAUCCCCGGGCUCAACCUGGGAAUUGCAUUUGUGACUGCACGGCUAGAGUGUGUCAGAGGGGGGUAGAAUUCCACGUGUAGCAGUGAAAUGCGUAGAGAUGUGGAGGAAUACCGAUGGCGAAGGCAGCCCCCUGGGAUAACACUGACGCUCAUGCACGAAAGCGUGGGGAGCAAACAGGAUUAGAUACCCUGGUAGUCCACGCCCUAAACGAUGUCUACUAGUUGUCGGGUCUUAAUUGACUUGGUAACGCAGCUAACGCGUGAAGUAGGCCGCCUGGGGAGUACGGUCGCAAGAUUAAAACUCAAAGGAAUUGACGGGGACCCGCACAAGCGGUGGAUGAUGUGGAUUAAUUCGAUGCAACGCGAAAAACCUUACCUACCCUUGACAUGUCUGGAAUCCUUGAGAGAUCAGGGAGUGCUCGAAAGAGAAUCAGAACACAGGUGCUGCAUGGCUGUCGUCAGCUCGUGUCGUGAGAUGUUGGGUUAAGUCCCGCAACGAGCGCAACCCUUGUCAUUAGUUGCUACGAAAGGGCACUCUAAUGAGACUGCCGGUGACAAACCGGAGGAAGGUGGGGAUGACGUCAAGUCCUCAUGGCCCUUAUGGGUAGGGCUUCACACGUCAUACAAUGGUACAUACAGAGGGCCGCCAACCCGCGAGGGGGAGCUAAUCCCAGAAAGUGUAUCGUAGUCCGGAUUGUAGUCUGCAACUCGACUACAUGAAGUUGGAAUCGCUAGUAAUCGCGGAUCAGCAUGUCGCGGUGAAUACGUUCCCGGGUCUUGUACACACCGCCCGUCACACCAUGGGAGCGGGUUUCACCAGAAGUGGGUAGCCUAACCGCAAGGAGGGCGCUCACCACGGUGGGAUUCGUGACUGGGGUGAAGUCGUAACAAGGUA
RNAcentral lists this ribosomal RNA (1491 nucleotides) under metagenome. RNAcentral's name for it is "bacterial SSU rRNA". It matches the Rfam family "Bacterial small subunit ribosomal RNA". The record is from RNAcentral.